UACGGAGGGUGCAAGCGUUAAUCGGAAUUACUGGGCGUAAAGCGCACGCAGGCGGUUUGUUAAGUCAGAUGUGAAAUCCCCCGGCUCAACCUGGGAAAUGCAUCUGAUACUGGCAAGCUUGAGUCUCGUAGCGGGGGGUAGAAUUCCAGGUGUAGCGGUGCAAUGCGUAGAGAUCUGGAGGAAUACCGGUGGCGCAGGCGGCCCCCUCGAUGAAGACUGACGCUCAGGUGCGAAAGCGUGGGGAGCAAACAGG
This 253-nucleotide ribosomal RNA is filed under the name uncultured bacterium. Its description in RNAcentral is "partial 16S ribosomal RNA". It matches the Rfam family "Bacterial small subunit ribosomal RNA", at positions 524 to 776 of the family's 1533-position model. The record is from RNAcentral.